This 321-nucleotide ribosomal RNA is filed under the name Fibrobacter succinogenes. RNAcentral describes it as "partial 16S ribosomal RNA". The record is from RNAcentral. Lineage: Bacteria; Pseudomonadati; Fibrobacterota; Fibrobacteria; Fibrobacterales; Fibrobacteraceae.
GGAGUCUGGGCCGUAUCUCAGUCCCAAUGUGGCCGAUCACCCUCUCAGGCCGGCUACCGAUCGUCGCCUUGGUGGGCCGUUGCCCCGCCAACUAGCUAAUCGGACGCAAGCUCAUCCCAUACCGAUAAAUCUCUAGUCAACCAGCCAUGCAGCUAGUCACUCUCCUGGACAUUAACCGCGCGUUGGCACGGGUAUUUCCUGAUAUGGGGCAGAUUGCUUACGCGUUACUCACCCGUUCGCCGCUCGGCAUUGCUGCCUCGCUCGACUUGCAUGUAUUAAGCACGCCGCCAGCGUUCGUCCUCGAGCCACGGAUCAAACUCU